This 3197-nucleotide long non-coding RNA is filed under the name Citrus sinensis (sweet orange). Its description in RNAcentral is "long non-coding RNA (CSIN_LNC001336)". The record is from RNAcentral. Lineage: Eukaryota; Viridiplantae; Streptophyta; Magnoliopsida; Sapindales; Rutaceae.
GUUGGGAUUUAUGGAAUGGGCGGCAUCGGAAAGACGACACUAGCAAAAGAGGUUGCUAUUCAGUUCAAGAGAGACCAGCUAUUUGAUCAAGUGAUUUUUGUGGAGGUGCCCCAGAUUCCAGACAUAAGAAAGAUUCAAGGAGAAAUCGCUGAUAAAUUAGGUCUCAUAUUUUUCGAAGAGACCGAAUCUGGAAGGGCAAGGAGUCUUUAUAAUCGAUUGAAGGAUGAGAAAAAGAUCCUUGUAAUUUUAGAUAAUGUUUGGGAAAGUGUUGAUUUGCAGGAUGUAGGAAUUCCUCACGGAGAUAAUCACAAGGGGUGUAAAAUAUUGAUGACGGCAAGAAGUGAAGAUAUAUUGUCUGGCAAGAUGGAUUGCCGACAUAAUUUCUCAGUUGGCGUUCUAAGAGAAGACGAAGCUUGGAGUCUAUUCAAGAAGAUGGCAGGGGAGUCUAUCAACAGUAGUGAAUUCAAAUGGGUGGCAACGGAUGUGGCAAAUGAAUGCGCAGGUUUGCCUGUUUCCAUUGUAACAGUAGCGAGGGCGUUGAGAAAUAAGAGAUUAUUUGAAUGGAAGGACGCUUUGGGACAGUUAAGAAGGCCUUCCUCAACGAACUUUAAAGAUAUACAGCCGGCUGCUUAUUCAGCUAUAGAGUUGAGUUACAACAAAUUAGAAGGAGAGGAGCUCAAGAAGAUCUUUUUGCUAAUAGGCUACACCUACAUAUCAUCCAUUAAUGACGUGUUAAUGUAUGGCAUGGGUUUGGGUUUGUUUCAAGGCAUCAAUAGGAUGGAAGAAGCACGAGCUCGAGUGUAUACAUUGGUGUACAAACUCAAGGCUUCUUGUAUGUUGCUUGAGCAUGGAAGCAAAAAUGAACAUUGGUUUUCUAUGCAUGAUGUUGUUCGUGAUGUUGCCAUAGCAAUUGCAACCAGAGAACAAAAUGUGCUUACGAUGAGAUAUGAACUGGUUAAUUCACGGGAAUGGCUAGAUGAAGGUGCGCUUAAGUUUUACACUUCGAUUGUCUUACACGACAGCAAGAUGAAUGUUCUUCUUCCUGAAGUUUUGGAAUGUCCUCAACUGCAACUUCUCUCUUUGUGGACUGAGAAAUCUUCAUUAAUCACACUUCCAGACAAUUUUUUCAGGAAGUUGACGCAAGUCAGAGUUUUAGACUUGACUUAUAUGCAUCUAUCAUUACUGCCUUCAUCACUUGGUCUCCUAACAAACCUUCGAACAUUGUGUUUGUAUUGCAGCGAAUUGCAAGAUAUAGCUGUUAUAGGAGAAUUAAAGAACCUAGAAAUCCUUUGCUUAAGGGGUUCUUAUAUUGAGCAGUUGCCUGUGGAAAUAGGCCAAUUGACUCGGUUAAGGUCGCUUGAUUUGAGAGACUGUGACAGACUACAGGUUAUUCCCCCAAAUCUUUUAUCAAAGUUAUCCCAUUUGGAGGAAUUAUACAUUCGUAGCUUUAAUAAGUGGGAAGUGGAGGUGGAAGCUGCAGGGAUCAAGAAUGCAAGCCUUGAAGAGUUGAAGCGUUUGCCUAACUUGACCACCUUAGAAUUAUGCAUCCCAGAUGCCAACACUCUGCCGAAGGGGCUGUUCUUCGAGAAACUGGAAAGGUACAGAAUAUGUAUUGGACGUUGGUGUUGGGAGGAUCCCUCACCUACGUGUUCUAGAACAUUCAGACUCCUCCUUGGCACCGACAAUUGUAUCAGCUUCAAGAGUGGACAUAUCGUGCAACUUCAGCGAAUUGAAGACCUUUGUUUAUCUAGAUUGCCAGACCAAGAUAUCAUUGAAUUAGUUAAUAACAAAUUGGGCUCUUAUUCUUCCCAACUGAAGCAUCUCUGGGUCGAAGGUUGUCAAGCCCCCAGUCCGAAAGAGUCAAAGGUAUGAUAUGAUCUUCCUAAAUUUCGAACAUAUCAAAGCAGCCAGUGCAAAAACAGAUUCUUCAUUUCUAAUGAGUAUGACUAUGUUCUAAACAGAGAUGCAAGGAAUCGACAAGUGAAAUGCGAUCGAAUGAAAUCAUUUUGGAGGACCAUGUCAACGUUCCUAAUACAUUUUUCCUCAAGGUCGGAUAUUAAUGAUCCAAUGGUCAUAUUCUUAUGAUUUUUUCCUUUUUUUGUUGCUGCUUUAUUAUAUAUUCUCCUUUCCUAGGAAAUAUAGGCUAGAGUGAAUCAGGGAUUAACGAACAUAUUUCAUAAUUAUAUUAAAAUUUUCAUCCCGAGUAACGUAGGUGUAACAAAUACUGCUGUACGGCCAAGGCGGAUGUACGGUACAGCAGGUUUGAUGAGCUCAAUGACCUCCGGCUUAGGUAUNNNNNNNNNNNNNACUUCGUGCAUUACAAGAUCCUGAUGUGAACAUGGUUGGGAUUUAUGGAAUGGGUGGCAUCGGAAAGACGACACUAGCAAAAGAGGUUGCUAUUCAGUUCAAGAGAGACCAGCUAUUUGAUCAAGUGAUUUUUGUGGAGGUGCCCCAGAUUCCAGACAUAAGAAAGAUUCAAGGAGAAAUCGCUGAUAAAUUAGGUCUCAUAUUUUUCGAAGAGACCGAAUCUGGAAGGGCAAGGAGUCUUUAUAAUCGAUUGAAGGAUGAGAAAAAGAUCCUUGUAAUUUUAGAUAAUGUUUGGGAAAGUGUUGAUUUGCAGGAUGUAGGAAUUCCUCACGGAGAUAAUCACAAGGGGUGUAAAAUAUUGAUGACGGCAAGAAGUGAAGAUAUAUUGUCUGGCAAGAUGGAUUGCCGACAUAAUUUCUCAGUUGGCGUUCUAAGAGAAGACGAAGCUUGGAGUCUCUUUGAGAAGAUGGCAGGGGAGUACAUCGAAAGUAGUGAAUUCAAAGGGGUGGCAACGGAGGUGGCAAAUGAAUGUGCAGGUUUGCCUGUUUCCAUUGUAACAGUAGCGAGGGCGUUGAGAAAUAAGAGAUUAUUUGAAUGGAAGGACGCUUUGGGACAGUUAAGAAGGCCUUCCUCAACGAACUUUAAAGAUAUACAGCCGGCUGCUUAUUCAGCUAUAGAGUUGAGUUACAACAAAUUAGAAGGAGAGGAGCUCAAGAAGAUCUUUUUGCUAAUAGGCUACACCUACAUAUCAUCCAUUAAUGACGUGUUAAUGUAUGGCAUGGGUUUGGGUUUGUUUCAAGGCAUCAAUAGGAUGGAAGAAGCACGAGCUCGAGUGUAUACAUUGGUGUACAAACUCAAGGCUUCUUGUAUGUUGCUUGAGCAUGGAAGCA